CUUUUACCGUAGCAAUUAUUAAAUAGUACUAUUUUCCUCCACAAUACAUUCAAACAGAUGCCCCCAUUAUAGGCUUCAAAGGGCACUGCCGAACGUUUAAACCCCAGGGAAUAAAUAAACAAGAUCUAACCCAACCCCUAAUAUCUAAUACAAUGUGAGACUCCCAUCAGGAAAAUGUCCAGCAGUAAAAACUGCCUUGGACGUAAGCAAUACGCAAAUAACGAAAGAAACUAUAGAAGUGUGAUUCAGGUCAGCAAGUAAACAUAAGAGAUAAUUGGAACACAACAGAAACCUCUUGCAAAGACGGAACUAAUGAAGAGAAUACAUUGCUAUAGUUGCAAUAACUUAGAGAUGUGUGAGACAAGUAAAUGCCAAGAAUAGCUGGGUCAUCUUUACCUCGCAUCCGAUUCUGAACUGAAACUGAAACUUUCAAGGAAGGAGAUUCUAAGACAACAUUCUGUGGUAACGAGUCCCAUUUGGUGGCUCCCAUCCGCUUGAAAGCAUUUUGCUUUCACUCUUUGGAGAGCUACAGUUAUGUGGCUUUAUAUAAGACAAAAUUUUAAGUAAAUAUAAAACAUACAAGAAGUAUCCGUAUAUGCUACAACAACAACAACAACAACAACAACAACUACCCAGUAUAUUCCCACCAGGUGGGGUCUGGNNNNNNNNNNNNNNNNNNNNNNNNNNNNNNNNNNNNNNNNNNNNNNNNNNNNNNNNNNNNNNNNNNNNNNNNNNNNNNNNNNNNNNNNNNNNNNNNNNNNNNNNNNNNNNNNNNUACCCCUACCCAAAAGGGCAGAGAGGCUGCUUCCAUGCGACCCUCGGCGCAUAGGACAGAAUGAAAAGCUGCAUUGGAAAACAAAGACAAAAUUAGUAAUAUCCGUAUAUGCUACUAGCAUAUAAAUUUCUGCUCCGACUAGAAAACUCUUAGAAAGCAAUGGAUCUAAAUUAAAGGUAUGAAUGAAAUAGAAGAACUAGUUUCCAGAACUGUGCAACAGCUGCUGCCUUUCAGUGUACUACAACCAUUACAAGUCAGCAAGAUGACCCACCCAUCUAAUUUUCACCCAAUAAUUCAGUCUGGCUGAAUAGCUCUUCCUGAACAGGAACUUCUUUCAGUUGUUGUGAUGAUACGACGUCAGCAAUAGCUUUUUUAGCAGCCGUGGCCUGACCAUCAUCGACGGCAGUGUCUGCCCCAGAGGCAAGUUCAAUUUGCUCGUCAGAAGCAUCAUCAUCCAGCUUAGGAGGUGGAACAAAGAAAGGAAUUUUGCCUCUUUGCCAAUCAUGGAGAACCAUCUUGGCAGCAGUCAUAUAGUCAGGUUCACCUCCCUGGAUAGCACAAAUAAGCUUAUAUCUAUUACAGGCUAACACUAAUGUCUGUGGAUAGCCAUAAGCACAAAAGUAAAGCAAAGUCUACACCCCACAUAGUUGAAGGAUGUUAAGCACAUUGCUGAAUUGCAACCCAACCCAAUAUGUUAAUCACUAAACGUGCUGGUCACCAAUAAAGAUUUUAUUGCAAAUCUCCGUGGAAUAAAGGAAUAUGCACGUUCUUUAUCUGGUCUAACUAGGGAAGCAAAGAUGUUAAUCACUAAACGUGCUGGUCACCAAUAAAGAUUUUAUUGCAAAUCUCCGUGGAAUAAAGGAAUAUGCACGUUCUUUAUCUGGUCUAACUAGGGAAGCAAAGAUGUUAAUCACUAAACGUGCUGGUCACCAAUAAAGAUUUUAUUGCAAAUCUCCGUGGAAUAAAGGAAUAUGCACGUUCUUUAUCUGGUCUAACUAGGGAAGCAAAGAUGCAACAUCCACAUUGUUCUAUGUGUCCUAGGAUCUCUAAAGGAUACUGAACAAGAAAUGACCCAAAAAUAAAAAAUAAAAAGUGUACCAGUUUUAAGUAAUUGAAAAGAAAUGACCCAAAAAUAAAAAUAAAAAAUAAAAAGUGUACCAGUUUUAAGUAAUUGAAACAGAAAAGUUUCCAUGAUGUUUAAAAAAAAAAAAAAUUCCACCAAGUGUGACAUGACAAACUAGCUGUUCAACUGAGAAAAAAUGUACUUUUAUAAGAGAUGCUUAUUGUUUUAGUAAAAGUUUUCAUCACUUCUUUGGAUAUUCAUGCACCCUACAAUUAGAAGCUUAACAACAACAACAACAACAAGUACCCAAUAUAUUCCCACCAGGUGGGGUCUGGAAUUAGAAGCUUAACAGAAGAGGACAAUCUAACACCCCCCCCCCCCUUCCUCCUUGUUUACGGCUCUGAUAGUACUGUUCAAAGCAACAGCAUGAUUAUUCCCGCAUAAAGGAAUUUCUUCUCAACCUGAAAGAGCUACUUCACUAUCAACACCCGUUAAACCCUACUUAGUUCCGAACAUUUUGUCAAACAAUAACCCAGAAUAAUUGCUACAUAUACGUAUUCGUUUUGUUUUUUGAGAUGGCGUAUCCUUAUUCUUUGACUACCAAUUGUUCAGCUAGUGAGCUUCAUUUUGUCCUACAAGAACUGACGAACAAUUUAAAAAAACAUUUGAAGUUACUUGUCCCAUGAACUGAUGAACAUCAAACAAAAUACUUUUAAGUUAUCACUACCAGAGAGGUGAAUGGGGGUGUUCAGGUUACCUUCAGAAGUUUGCCUGUUGACUUGCAUAGCUGAAGAAGAAAAUCAUUAUCAUCAACCCUGGAAAUAUCACAAAAAUUAUUAAUUCAGCAGCGCAGCAAAGAUUCUGCAUAAUGAUUUUUUUGGGGUGUAAACAUAUUCUUGUUUUCCUUGGUGAAAUCCUUGACCUAUUGUAUAGAUAUAAAAAUAUGAUGAAGCAGAAAAUACGCUAUAUUCCACUCCUACCUAUAUGAGGAAUCAGGCUAAGCAAACAGAUGAAAAUCAAAAAGGAUUAGACGUCCCCCCAUGCUACGGUUCCCUGCGGUCCAAACCCGGUGCCGCUUUACUAAGGGAAUUUAGAAUCCUAAUUGAAUGGUAGAGAAAAUUUACCACUCCUUUAUCUUAUAAGCUCUUUGAAGAUGCUCCUUCUUAACACGAUUCAACACUUCACCGAUGUGUUCAGCAGCAUCCUGCAGGUUUGUCACUCGUACCUGAAGGCGACAGCCCAAAGGUUUAAGUAGUUUGAACUGUUAGUCAAAGAACCUCAUGCUUACAGCGAAGAGGAAAAGGACAUAUUUCAAGGAAUAGACAAAGAAAAUAUUCAUCAACUGAGAAAGGAGGAAAAGGAAUCUCUAAGGGAAGAUUAGGUUCAGAGAGAUCCUAUACAACACAAGAUGAUAAAUCUAUCACUAGUAAGACAAGUAAAUCCCGGUUCAGUGGUAUAUAUCCAACUGGCGAAAAAGUUAAAGCACAACUCUUAGCAGUUUUGGUCCUUCAGGUUCCAAAGUGGGGAAGGCCAGCAUCUAUUUAACAGCGCGACUGCAGUUUCUUUCUUUAUAUUUUCCUAUCCAAAAGUAUUCAAGAAUAAAUUCUUCCUACAUCAUAACUAUAUUAAGUGCUCAUUUGAAUGAUACGUAGAAGCGCUUUAAAAGCCAACAAUAAUCGCAAUCAGGAAAAAUAUAUCAAGUUACUUCAAAAUGCAAAAAUAAAUAGGAUGUACGGUCUCAAUUUCAUAUGAGAAUCCUUUUCGAGAAUUUUUCUCCAUUGAGUACCAUAACUUUUGUCAAGCAAGAUCAUAUAAGGAACAUCGAGUCACCUAUGCCUUAAUAGUCCUUUUUACAACAAACUCAUUAUAUCAGCCAGAGAAACUAAAAGUAAAGCUGUAGGUAAAAAUCGCAAAUCAAGCAAAGGUAGAAGACACAUACCACACCCUUCAAGACUAUAUCUGUUUCCGAAUCAUUAUUCUGAUAAACUACACCAGGACAGUCGAUCAAGAAGAUCCUCUUUGUGAGGGUAAUGUACUGCCAAACUUUCGUUUCUCCUGGGAUAGGAGCCACCUUGCAAACCUAAUUCCAAAAGAAGGGGAAAAGGUUAGCUCCACUCCCAAUAAAAAUGAAUAUGGUAGUUAGAAAAAUGAGCGUACUACUCAAAUUAACAUUGCAUUUCACAAUUCAGGAUAUGGCCUUUUAGACGCUAAGUACAGGUGAUACAAAAAGCAAUUGCCAUUAUCCCACGAGAAAACAAGUUUCCAUUAUUUAUAAUUUAGGGAGAUGGAGAAGGGAGAAGAAAAUUGAGCUCUAAAUUGUAUAAAUGUUUAGUACUCAUGAAUCCAGUCAGGAACAAAGACUAAGUUCACUGUUGAUUAUCCUGCAAUUGAUCUUUUUAGAAGCAACAUCACUCGACCAACAAAACUUAAGUCGGGAACAGCUUGAAUAGAAACACAAUUCUCAAGGAGGCAGAUGAGCUAUACAGGAAAAGCAACAAGCAUUACAGAAACAAAAUGAACAAAGCCGACACAACUGCCUAAAAGAGGCAGAGAAAUUAUGAAGGAAAAGCUUACAUUUUUUGUGCGCAGUGUAUUAAUAACUGAUGACUUGCCAACAUUGGGAUAACCUACAAAACCAACAGAGAUUGCUUGCUUGUCGCUCUUUAUUCGAGAAAACUGUCUCAAUACAGACAAAAGAGAACCCUGAAUGCAAAAUUGGAAAAGAAAAUAAGCUACAGAAAAAAGUUAUCAGAAAGGCGCAUAUGCACAUGCAUGCACAAUUGUCCACGUGAUUAGAAAUAUAGAAAGGAGAGAACCCUGAAUGCAAAAUGGAAAAGAAAAUAAGCUACAGAAAAAAGCACAUGCACAAUUAACCAUGUGUUCAGAAAUAUAGAAAGGAGCAUGAGCGAAGGCAUUAUUUACACAUCAAGUACUGUGUUUGUGAGUAUAUUUGUAUUUAGAGGUGAGGCAAGGUCAGGAGAUAUUGCGAGCAUACCUUUCCAAAGGACUUGGUGACACUUGCAUGAAAUGCCAGAGUUGGAUAUUCCUUAGAGAGUACUCUAAGCCAUCCUUUUGUUGCCCAAGCAGGGACCAAAUCACACUAUAUAGGCAGAAGAAAACAUCAACUGAUUCAAGUCCUGAAGUAAAGAUUAACAUCCAAAAAAGCAGAUUACAAAAUUUGUGUAGUAUAUUGAUAAUAAGGCAAACCUUAUUCAGCAAAAGGACCAUAUGUUUAUGCUUGCAAUUUUCUUUCAAAUGCUUCUCCAAAUGGUAGCAUCUUGUACCUCGGGGGUCUCUGGCAUCAAGAACCUGCAAAUCCACAUUAACCACAGUAAGCCAGGACAGCUAGCAUUAUCCCGUUCAUCUAAAAUAUCCUAAAUUCUCCUUAGCAGACAGAGAAAACUACAUCAGAACAUUACAUGUCCCAUAAGCAGCACACAGAUCGCAGGCAGAGAAGUAGAUUUUUUUCUUUUUGAUAAGUUAAAUAAUUUUAUCAAUAACAGGUAACUUUCCUGUAUAUAAGCCGCAUACCAGAAAGUAGAGAAUCUAAGUAACACGAUUCUCUAUGGAAAUGAAAUGAAAUUCAAUCUUCUAUAUUAGCUGGAGCUCAUGGGUGCACCAAUAACCAACAAGGAAAAAUCACAGCAGAAAGUUGUGCCCGGCAUGCAUGAUUAAGUGUGAUAGGGUUGGGUUUACACUUGGGUACAAGUGAAAAAUUGCACUUUUCACCAGGAAAGCUUUUAAUUGGAAGAAUAUCAACAACCAAUAACAUCCUCCGUAUUAGAAAUAACAUGGAUUUUAAAGCCACAAAACAAACCUGAACGACUACAUCAGAAGAGUCUAUGACUUUGUAAAGCUCGCCCCAAAUUCGUUUACUUUGUCCUUUCUCAAACAUUGUGUGCCUAACAAGAUCUCUGAAUUGGUGCGAGACUGUUUCAAGGUAUAAAUAAUGUAACAGAAGUUAUCUACCUGAGGAAGGAAGCUCUUUCGAAAUCCAAAGUUUGAGCCAUGGAGGUGCUACCACCAUGUUUGUCUUCAAAGGUAUCUGCAAAAACUCGGAACCAAAAUUUGUAGUGCAUAGGCACAAAAGGGGAAUCUUACAUGGAAGCCAUUAGCAAACCCCUCAUUUCAUACCUUGAGACACUUCAGCCUUCUUGGCUAGAGAAUCAUAAUCUAAUGCCAUAAGUUUGGGGCGUUUCCUCUUCGCUUUAGGUCCAAAAGCAUCAGCAAAAGGCGCGUUGUCAAGAAGAUGAACUCUUGCUUGCUUUAACAAAGAAAAAAGAGAACAAUAUUAGCAAACAGAAUGCAGAAUCAAGCAUGAGACCAGCAAGAAUUAGCCUCAAUUUGCUAAUUAUUAGUAUGUAUAUACUGUAUAUACAUACCUACAUACAUAUACAUAUACAUACACACACACAUAUGCGCGCGCGUCACAGGAAGCUCGCUGAUCAAAUACCAAUAUGUAUGAAUAUAAAAACGAUGCUCCAUUAAUCAGCGAGCCGUGAGGAGGUUCACAUUGAUUCAGUGAGAACAGAAGCUCAAGGAGAAAGCACACUCCAUACCUUCUGGUGAUCAUUUAAAAGGGACAUUGGCAACUUCCUUUCCUUUAAUAUGACAUUGUAAUUACUGGAAAGCCGACUUGAUAGCUCUUCUCUAAAGAAUUCCAGUUCCUUCUGGUUAACCACCCGAGUAUUCCCUGUAAAGUACCCGAAAACCAUAUCCUAAUUCGGUAAAAAUACACUUUCUUUGAAUCACAAGAAGCGAAAAGCAUGAAAUAUUUUACAUACCGAACCAACGGCGAUCUGGUUGUAUCCGAGUUGAUGGCAGUUCCUUUGAUUGUAAGUCGUGCUUAAUGAUUUUACCCUUAACGUCACGUUUUGGCCUGGUAUUGUACAUCUUGAGCCGCCGCACAGUGGCGGCACUACGGCCGUUUUUGGUUGCGCUGCCAUCUCUGUUGCUGUCUAAGGAAUGCUUUGGCUUUCCCGAUACGUUCGCCGACCUCUCCUUCGUCUUGGCCAUCUCCGUUUGAUGUUCCAAGAGCAAAUAUUAGGGGUUUUGGAGUCGGCGAAAAGCCUUAUACCCUGCUUUCCAACACUCAACUUUCGGACGGUUGGAGAGGGGGUUAACUAAAACUUGGAGAAGAUUUUGUUCUGAAAUUUACCCUAAGAUGCUCUAAUUUUGGCUUAUUUAUCUUUUGGCAUACAGACCUUUUAAAUUUUGCUUUUUUCUUUUUCGGGAUACCUUUGUAAUUUUGGACAUGUUCAAGGACCCGUUUGAUCAUAGAUUUUGCCAAAAUAUAUUUGGGUUUCCUUUUGCAAAUACAUACUUGUUCAUAAAUUUUAUCCAUAUUUUGGUGAAUUCCCAAAAUCUAAAUCCCAAAACCAGCUUUAGCCCAAAAUAUUAAUAUUUAUAUUUUUUAAAAAUUGCCCCAAACUUUUAUAUUUUACUAGUAUCCCGUGUUGCGCGUGUACCCCAAUACCAAGAGCAUAAACUUUUAAGAAUGACAUAAAGAUUAUUAGAAAAUAUUUUGAAAUAUAAAAAUAAAAGUUAAAUUAUAUUAGAACAUAAAUAUGCUAGAAAUUCAAAAGUUAGAGAGAUGUCAUGUCUAAACUCUCAUUCUGAAAUGUAUAUUUGCUGAAUGGAGCACAUGUGCAAGAAGAGGAGAGUUAUGUGGCGACGAUAGUGAAACCUUAGCAUGAAGAUCAUAUUUGCAUUGGAAAAGAAAAGAAGAAAAUUACACAACAUAAAUCGAAAUAUAAAAAAAUACCAUUUUGUCUUUUAUAUUACUGUUUAUAGGACUACUCCUCUCCAUUAUAUAUGUUGUUGGUAGAGAGUAACAAAGCAAUCGUUUUAGGGAAGAAGAAUCUAUGCUUUAUGUAUUGUGGAGGUAUACGAAAAAGAAAGAUCAAGAGUCACAAAAACUAAUCAAGAGUAGUGGAAGAGUUUUGCAACGUUAAUACAAUAAUUAUUAGUAUAUUAUUGUUGUGAUAUUUAGUUGAAAAAAGGAUGAAUAAACACUUCAAAUUUGGAGUAACGGUUCUCUAUUAGCACAUCACAUUUUGAAUUUCAAUAAGGUGUAAAUCUUAUAUAAUUUUUAAAAGAAUAAUUUAAUUUACUUCUAUACAUAUUUAUCAUUUAUUGGAAUGUAAAUUUAAUUUUUGAUACAAAAUUAUUAUAGGAUAUGUAGUGUUUAUAGGAAGGGUAAAUUGGUCUUUCAGUUUUUAAAGGGCAAUUUAGUAAAACUUUACCUAAAAGUGUUCAUGCUUAUAAUAUAGUAUGAUAAAAGAGCCGACCAUUUAUUAUUUUGUAACAAUACUGUUUUUUUUCUUGGUCACCUAAUAGUGUAUUAUGUAGUUCAUUAUAAAAACAAUAAUUUUGUAACAAACUUAUUUUUGUUCAGGACAAUGGUUUGUGAUAAUAUAAUGAAUGUUAUUGAUGAAGGUACUGUUGGAUAUUUGUAAUAGUUUUUAGAAAUUGUGGGUAUAAAUUAUGUAUCAUGUUUUUAAAAAAAAAGUGAAAUAUAUUUUGGCAACUCAUGUCUAAACACCUUUUCAUUUUCAAACUAAGUUUCACUCAAAUCAGAUUUUUCAAAACAAAUUUAAAAAUUUAUGGCUAAACGCUAGUGUCGUCAUGGAUUAAACAGACCGAAAUAUCAAAAUAGAACAAGUAAAGAUAUCAAUUAGGCUAUUUUGCCUUAAUUUUUAAAACUUAUUUGUGUUUAAGAAAUAAUAAAGCAAUAAAUAAAAUAGAAGGAACGUAUGGAGAAGAAUAAAAAAUAUAAUGAUAGAAAUGAAGACACCAGAAUAAUGCCAAACUGUUUACCUUGAAAAUGGUAUUGACAAUUAUAUUUAAUUUUGUGGUUCUAAAAAUAUAUGAUUUAUUUCAACACUAGUUGUUAGGCAAUGGAUGCUAAAUAUAGGUAAAGAGAAUAAGAUAUGCAAACUAAUGUUGAUGAAGGACCGGGGUCUCGAACUCAAUGGUAUCAGGGACCUCGGGUCCAAUAAUAGCAAUAAAUGAAGAACAAUAAAUGAAGAAUAAUUAAUGAAUGAAAAAUAAUAAAGCUGGAAGACAGUAUUAAGCGUGAGAAAAACAAAAAAUAUUCUAUUCUGGUAAAAAUAUUGUGUAUUACAAAAUGACAAGGAUCUCCUUUAUAUAGGAGGGGGAAUCCCAACAUAGUACAUACUAUCUAAUAAUGACAAGGAAAGGCUAUUGGUACAGUUUUAUAGUAGCUCAGUACGGAUUUGUACUAUUUUUUGCAAGACUCGUGUCAGUUCUAAUCGCGUGCCCUCGGGAAUUUUUCACCUUUCCAUGACGGUCGUCGAUUUUCAUACUGCCUCGAGGUACACCGUGAUGAGUCUUCGGUAUACUCUAUCGAGGUGAGUGCUAUGGGGACGAGCCUUAGAUUGUUCUUCGAUCCCAUCAAGGUCGGGCUUGAAAACGCCAUAGAAAUCUUGAAAUUAGCCUUCCCUGAUUUUGGCCGUACACAGAUACUCUCAGUGUUUUUUGGAACGAAAUAACAAGGAACGAUUUGAAUUCUUUUACCUUCAUGAUUUUGUUCUUUUAUGCUUUCAGGCUAUAGUGCUUUACAAUCAAGCCUUUGCUAAGUCCCAAGCUGAGUUGACCUACAGUGAGGAAGAGUGUAAGAGGUUCUUAUCAGAGGCUAACAAGCUCAGAGCCCUUUUUACCAAAAAGAAGGAAGAACUUCAUGAUCUCGGGCUCGUUUGGAGACAGUCUAUCGAGAGCGGACCGAUCUUGUUGAGCAUGUAAUACAGUCUUCGUAUAUUUUUAUUUUUGUGCUUCUCUGGCUUUAGAAUUCAACACCUUUGGGUUGACUUUUGCAUCUUGAGAAGAAAGAUGUCCUGAUGAGGGAGGGGCUCAGAGCUAGAGAUAUUGAGAUUCUCAGACUCAAGCAGCAUGUGGACGAGAUAGCCUCCGAGAGAGAUACCCUCCAAGGGAAGUUGACCUCAGUUGAGCAUCAUCUUCAGGAUGUAAGGGCGGAUAGUAGUAAGUAUAAAGACGUCCAUGUUGAAUCGGCCGACGCGCUAUCUGUAGCCAAGUCCGAAGCCGAUGCACUCAUAUCCUUACAUCGAGAAGAUGUUGCUGCAGCAAAUGCCCAAGCCAAGAAGGUAUCUGAAGAGGCCAAGCUUGAACUGAACUGAGCCCUGGAGCAUGCCCGAUUAAGAUCUCGGAGACAGGCACUCGAGGAUGUAUAUGUAAGGGGCAUCGAUUUAUCUGUUGAGAUCGAGAGGGUGAAGGCCCUAGAGGAAGAAUUAGCAGCUCUUUUUUAUUUCGAUGAUGGUUCAGCCAGUGACUCGGGGGGAUGAUGAAGAUGAAGGUGAAUUCCACGAGGGGUAGAAGUUCGUUGAUGCUCCGGGGGUCGAGGACCAAGCCGUUGAAGGCACAACUUCCGAGGGAGCUCCUUCCGGUCAAGUGACCCUGGCGGUUGAUUAGGUUUUUAUUGUUAGUUUUUGUGUAAGGGCUCCAGGCGUGAGCCUUGCAAAUGUGUCUUUGUGAACCUUUAUUAUAUAAAUAAGGAUCUUUCCUUUUCGUCAUUUUUUGUCUUCCGUUUGCCUUUUUGGGAUAAACUUUGAUGCUUGUCGAUAACCAGUCCGAUGUGUCAAACUUAUAAUAUAAACCCCUUAGAUUUUCAUGCUUUAUGAAUGAUCGAUUAUAAUUUACCGUUAAAUUUUGACUCGGGGCUAUCGACCCUCAAGUUUUUAACACCUUGGCCCUUAGGCUCUUUAGAUCGACCAUUAAGCUCUUUACGCUGGCCCUUAGGCUCUUUAGGCUGGCUCUUAGGCUCUUUAGGCUGGCCCUUAGGCUCUUUAGGCUGGCCCUUAUGCUCUUACGCAUUAUCCCUUAGGAUCUUUAGGCUGGCCCUUAGGCUCUUACACACUGGCCCUUAGGCUCUUUUUAGAUUGAGUCGGUGCGACCUCUAAUAUGGCUAUAGAUUUCCCUAAUUUUGGCUAAAGGCUUUUGAAGUUUUGAUUAUGUCUUGGCAUGUUUUAUAAUCAUCUAACUCUUCGACGGCUUAAAUGAGAACCUCGAUUAUGAGUCGAAUAUGUGAUGAUAGAUGAGUACCUCGGGAGGUUUGCUUAAAGGCUGAGUUUUCGAAAACUUUUCAUCGGACGCUGAUUAUUUUCGAAGCCUUUUUAUUAUUCGGAGCUAAUAUUAUCAAAGCUCUUUUGCUUAUGCCAAGGGUAGCCUGAUUAACCGGUUCUUUUCGAAGUAUUCUCGAAGUAUUUGAAGGCCUUAAGUUUUAUGGCUGCAGUCGGAUGUCUCCGAACCGUAUUAAUUUGGUCGUAGCCUUUUAGUUCGACGGUGGUCUUUAUGUUUGGUCAUAGCCUUUAAUCCCCGGGUGCGAUGAUCUUGGCGUCCAUAUCGAGGGUAUGGCUUAUAGGGGUAUUACAAGUUCGAAUAUAUAGCCUUGGCCUUAAUAUCGGUGUUAUGUCUUUUUAAGGUCUUACAAAUUUGAAUAUGCCUCGUUGAGGUCUUAUAAGCUCGAUAUUGCCUCAUUGAGGUCUUAUAAGUUUGGGCAUGCCUCAUUGAGGUCUUACAGAUUCGAUGUUGUCCCACUGUGGUCUUACUAAUUUGAGUUUUUGAUGGCUUCGAUGAGCUGUCUGUCGAUGACAGACCCCGAGUGUUCGAUGAUUGUGGACUCGGCCUAUCCAUUUGCACAUGGGUGGUAGGGCGCUGAUAGGAUCAUUUUGAUUUUAUGAUUUUCAAGGAAUUUUUUCACCUUGCUGCCUAUGAACUGCUUCCCAUUAUCAUAUGUAGUCUCGGAUGGGAUCCCGAAUCUGUAUAUGAUGUGGUCCCAGAUGAAGUCAAUGACUUUUUUUCUCGUUUCUUCUCGAAGGAAUGUGCCUCCACCCAUUUCAAGAAAUAGUCAGUCUUAAACAGAAUAAAUAUAGCUUUACUUGGCGCCGUUGGUAGGGGGCCAACGGUGUCCAUCCCCCAUUUCAUGAACGGCCAUGGUGAUAAGAUUGAAUGUAGUUAUUCACUAGGCUGGUGAAUCAUUGGUGUGAACCUUUGGCAUUUGCCACACUUUCAAAUGAAUUCAUUGGCGUCCUUCUCCACGCUGUCCAAAUAAUAGGCUACUCUGAUCCCCUUUCUAACUAAAGAAUCGGUGCCAGAAUUAUUUCCACAAGUGCCCUCAUGGAUUUCUCAAAGUACAUAAUCGGUGUCCCCCGGUCCCAAGCAUACUGCUAGAGGUCUGUCGAAGGUCCUCCUAUAUAAUGUUCCAUUUUCAUCGAGCGAAAAUCGAGUCUCUUUGGCCUGAAAGGCCCUCGAUUCUUUUUGAGUUGCGGGCAGCUUCCGUUUCUCAAAUAAUCGAUAUUUUAUUCCUCCAAUCCCAUGUUAGACUUGUUAAGUUGAUCACGGCAUGGCUUUCUUUGAUCACCGACUUAGAUAACUCUACAACAGCCCCCGGAAGUAUGUCAUCUUCUUUGAUGGACGACCCCAGGUUUGUAAGUGCAUCUGCCUCGUUGUUCUGAUAUCGAGAAUGUGGACCAGAGUCCAUUCUUUGAAGCGAUGCAAUAUAGCCUAAAGUUUGUCUAAGUAUCUUUGCGUCCUGUCUUGUCGAUCCUCGAAGCUCCCAUUUACUUGGGUUGACUACCAGAAGGGAGUCGCAUUUUGCUUCGACGACUUCUGCUCCUAGGCUUCUGGCCAGCUCGAGACCUGCAAAGAUGGCUUCAUACUCAGCCUUGCUGUAAGUGAAUUUCAAAGUUUUUAUAUAUUGUCUAAUCAUGCCGCCCGUAGGCGGCUUUAGAAUGAUGUCGAGUUCAGACCCUUUCAUAUUCGAAGCACCAUCGGUGAAUAGGGUCUAUACACCCGAUGAUGUGCCCAUUUUAGCAAGAGUUCUUUAUCUACCUCGGGCACGAGGGCAGGUGUAAAGUCGUUCACGAAGUUCACCAAAAUUUAUGACUGAUAUCCCCCCGGCGUUGGUACUCAAUAUCAUACCCUCCAAGCUCGAUGGCCCAUUUGGCCAAUCUGCCCAACAAAUUCGGGUUUGUGCAAGAUGUUUCGAAGAGGGUAUGGUGUUAAAACACAUAUACGAUGGCAUUGAAAAUAAGGUUUCAAUUUCCGAGAUGCACUUAUUAAUGCAAGAGCUAAUUUUUUUAAGCAUGGAUACCGGGUUUCAGCAUCUCCUAGAGUUCGACUUACGUAAUAAAUAGGGAAUUGCAUACCUUAAUCUUCUCGAACCAUCAUACCACUUACCGCUACUUCAAACACGACCAUAUACAAGUAUAUCAUUUUAUCUUCCUUCGGGGUGUGGAGAAAAGGCAGGCUCGAGAGAUACCGCUUUAAUUCCUCUAAAGCAUGCUCGCAUUCCGGAGUCCACUCAAAGUAGUUUUUCUUCUUGAGCAAGAAGAAGAAAUGAUGACUCUGAUCUAAUAAUCUCGAGAUGAAUUGACCUAAGGCCGCUAUUAGCCAGUCAGCCGUUGUACGACCUUCACAUUGUCACCGCUAUGAUUUCUUCAAUGGCCUUGAUUUUGUCGGGGUUGAUCUCGAUCCCCCUAUUCGAUACCAUGAAACCUAAAAGUUUGCCCGAUCCUACUUCGAAGGCACAUUUCUUGGGGUUGAGCUUCAUGUUGGCCUCGAUCUACUCCUCGAUUAUUUUGAGGUAUAUUCCGCCUCGAAGUGUCUCUUUGAUCUUUGAACUAUGGCUGAUACUUUCUUUGCAUGAUCUCUACUCUCUUUUUGUAGACCUUGGUUCCUUUUUAAAGAGUCUGCUAGGAUAUACUGAGCUCGAGGGGGCUCCUAAUUGGUCGUCUUCGACCCUGAUCUUCGAUUGAUACCUGUUGUGCACAUCCGCCCAGGUCAUGGUGGGAUAUUUGAGCUAUCGAGCUUCAUUCAUUCAAGCCCUAAGUGAAGGCCUGCACUGCCCAGUCAUCGGAGACUGAUGGUAAUUCCAUUCGCUCCAUCUAGAAACGAGAUAAAAAUUCCCCUCAGCAUCUCAUUCCCCUUUGUUUGAUCUUGAAGACGUCGGACUUCCUUGUAGAAACCUUGAUGGCACCCGUAUGUGCCAUCACAAAAGAAUCUGCCAACAUGGCAAACGAAUCCAUCAAGUUCGGGGAUAGGUUUUGAUACCACAUCAUGUCCCCCUUCGACAGUAUUUCUCCGAAUUUCUUCAGCAAGACGGAUUCAAUCUCGGCAUCCUUUAAGUCAUUCCCUUUUACAUCACAAGUAUAAGCGGUAACGUGCUCAUUGGGGUCUGUGGUCCCAUUAUACUUCGGGAUAAAGGCAUUCUUAAUUUCUUCGGGAUGUGCUUCAGAACGGCACUUUAUGGGAAUAGUUUCUGCACGAACUUCUUUGAAUCUACAUCCUUCAGAAUUGGGGGUGCGCCAGGUUCUGAUCGACCCUCGAGUUAUAAGUCUCCACCUUUUUAUCGUUAGCCUCUAUAUUUUUUCUCCUAAAUUGAUUCUUUUAGUCAAUUUCUUGAGCAUUUUCAUUAUUGUGGGGUCAAUCUCCGAGCCUCUUUUAUCGGGUCUUUCUAGCAUCGAUUCGCGCUGCAUGUUUACUGGUUCGACGGUGUUAGGGGUUCUGUUCUGACUUUGAAGUUGAGCGAUGGCAACUUGCUGAGCUUGCAGCAUCUCGAAUAUUACUUGGAGGCUGACUCCUCCUUCUUCCAUUCCUCGUGCUUCUUGCCCCCAGCCUGAGCUUGCCUACGUUCGUUCCUUACGGGGUUUGUACCUACUUCAGUGUUUAGAGCGUUGUGGGAGCUGAUAUCAACUGGCUCCAUGUUUGGCACUCACUCAUGGUUUUUCAUGCGGUAUACCGAGCCCUAUGCCGCUAUUUUCUCUAAGUCCUUCACUGUCAUGAGCAGGUGCAUUUUGUGUGCUAGACAUAUUUUUGCCUGAAACCAAAAAUUCUUCAACAAGAAAAAGUGUGAAGAAUAACGUGUGUUAUCAGAAAACUAGCACCAAAACAAUCACUGUUAUUUUUAGUCCUACGAUGGGUGCCAAACUGUUUACAUUGACAAUUAUAUUUGAUUUUGUAGUAAAUAUAUGAUUUAUUUCAACACUAGUUGUUAUGCAAUAGAUGCUAAGUGUAUGAAAAGAGAAUAAGAUAUGCAAACCAAUGUUGAAGAAGAACUGGGGUCUCGAACUCAAUGGAAUCAAGGACAAAUGAAGAAUAAUGAAUGAAUGAAAAAUAAUAAAGCUGAAAGAAAGUAUUAAGCAUGGGAAAAGCAAAAAAUGUUCUAUUGUGGUAAAAAUAUUGUGUGUUACAAAAUGACAAGGUUCUCUUUAUAUAGGAGGGGGAAUUCCAAUAUAGUACAUAUCUAAUAAUGACGAGGAAAGACUAUUGGUACAGCUUUAUAGUAGCUCAGUACAAAUUUGUGCUAUUUCUUGCAGACUCUGUCAGUUCUAAUCACGUGCCCUCGGGAAUUUUCCGACUUUCCAUGACGAUCGUCGAUUUUCAUGCUGUCUCGAGGUACGCCGUGAGUUUUCGAUAUACCCUAUCGAGACGAGUGUUAAGAGGACGAGCCUUAGAUUGCGCUUUGAACCCAUCGAGGUCGGGCUUAAAACGCCGCAAAAAUCUUGAAACCGGCCUUCCUUGAUUUCGAUCGUGUAUAUAUAUAUAUAUAUAUAUAUAUAUAGCAUCGGUUCCACAAUUGGCAAUCAUUAAAAAUCUUUGAAGCUUUGAAUUCGAAUUUAGAUUAUCAAAAAAUAUUAUUUGUUUGAAUUGGGUGUUGUUACAAACUAUUUGAAAAUUCUCUCUACGACUCUCUCUAUCUCUUUAUCCCUAAUUCCAGUAUGUAAAGCAAAGGAAAGAGAGCCGCAAUUCUACAAUCGAUAGCUAUUAAAAAAGCUUUAAAGCUUUGAAUUCGAAUUUGAGGUUUUGAAAUCAUUAUUUGUUUGGAUUGAGUGUUGUUGUAAACAAUUGGGAAUAUAAUUUAGCGUUUAUAUCUCAAUUUUGAGGGUAUUUUGGUGAUGAUUAUACUUGAUUUUGGUUGAAUUUCAGAAUGAAACUCGUCGAAGAAGAAGACAUGCCAUAUAUUAUACUUACGAAAUUGUAGUAAAAUUAUAGAAUAUAUAUAUAUAUAUAUAUAUAUAUAUAUAUAUGAAAGUUAAAACCAUUUUGAUUGUUUUUCUUACACGAAUGAAUAUAUCAUCAAACCAGAAAAAUGAACUAACAUGAUCCACUUUAUUAUGAAUAUUUUGAGUGAAUUUAAUUUGACGGAAGUUAUUUUUUCCCAUAAAAAUGUAUUUUCCUGAAAAACUCUUUUCUUGGUAUUUGAUUGUUGAGUGAAAUAUUUUACUUAAUACUAAAAUUAAAAAAAUCAAUAAUAAUAUCAACACACCGAAAAGUAUUAUAAGUAACACUUUUGAGUUCUAAAGAUUAAUAAUAAUGUAUAAGUGUUCCUUCGAGUAAAUAAUGUAUAGUUAGCGUUUAAAUAUAUAGUUAUUGGUAAAUAAUGUCCUAUGGUCAAGUCCCUCUUAAAUGACAAUUAUGGGGGCCAUUGAAGAAUGUGUAAUGGUAGGCUAGGAAUACCAUAUUUUUGGUAACAGACUAUAUACAUAAUGCUAUAGAAUAUUCUCUAUUGCAUGUUAUCAGGUGGCACACAUUUAUUUGUCUUUAUGAGCAACACUCCCUUCGGGGACAAGUGAGAUUGUUGUCCCUGGGCUUCAUUUCCAUUUGCAUCGAUUUUCAUUUGUCUCCGGCUCCACGUAUCGCUUUAUUAUGCGAUCAUUUAAUAUGAACAUAUUUUAACUUAUACAUACACACACACAUACACACAAAUAUAUAUAUAUAUAUAUAUAUAUAUAACUAAGGAGCGUUUAGUACAAGUUUAUCAUAAGAUGUGUCACGAGGGACACAUUGAUUCCUUAAGCUUGCUAUCAGUUGGCAAGCAUCAAAUGAUAAUAGUUUUUCAUGAGUAGUAAUUUCAAGUCUUUCACUAUCCACAAAAUGUAUUACAUCACUCGGAGGUCUAACAAAAACUUUUUUUACUGAUCUUCUGGGCAUUACUUCUUCCAGCUGCUCCAAAAACUUGACUAUCCAUAUCCAUGUACUUUUUUGCUAGUUGAUGAGCAGUCCUAUUCCCCUGCCGGAAGGUGUGCUGGAGGAUAACUUUCUGCUGGUGAAUUAACCACCUGCAAUCAUUAACAACCUUGUUAAAUAAAUUUUUACCUUUAUAUAUUGCCUGGAUUACCUCUGAGCAGUCCGUCUCUAUUUCAAGUGGGGAAAAUUUCUACUCCUUUGCUGUUCUGAGACCUUCUCUUAAGGCUUUCAAUUCCGCUGCUAGUGAAUCAUUUGCAUGAGUUAACUUUGUAAAACCAAUGAUCCAAUUACUAUUGGAAUUUAUGAAAAAUCACCUAAGCCACAAUUUUGAUUAUAGUUAUUGAAACUGACAUCAAAAUUUACUUUAAGCCAACCCCUUAGAGGUUUGUGCUAAUUGAUUUUAAUGAGUAAAUUGGGAGAGAGUAUAGAAAUUUUUCUUGUGAGUAAUUUGAAUUCCAUAGCCCGCGGCAUGAUAAGAGAACCAUUGAUCGGGUUGGUAGUGUUAUUAUGGUUAUUGUUUUUUCUAUUAAUCCAAAUGUGCCAAAUGAUAAAGGGAAAAUAAGAGUUCCAGUUUAAAAAGCGUUAUUAAGAGGAUAGUUAAGGUCUCUUACUUGGAUAAGCCAGUGUUUGCCAUUUUGGCUAUUAUGGUAUUGCCAUCGAAGGCAAGCCUAAAAUUGGUUGAUGGCUUUGCAUUCUAGGAAAAUAUGCUUUAUGGAUUAUUCUUCAGGACUUUUACAGAUGGGACAAAAAGGGUCAAUAUUUAGUCCAAUAUGUGAAAGGUAUUUCCUACAAGGGAUUCAAUUAUAUAAUCAUUGCCAUAGAAAAUAUUUUAUUUUAUUGGAGCAAUCUAGUUUCCAAAUCCAGUCAAAUUCUAAGUCAAUAUUUUUAGGUGUUUCUAGAAGCAUAUAACAUGACAUAGUAGUGAACACCCCUAGAUGGGGGACCAAAUAGGUAAAUUAUUAGAGGGGCCCUUGAGACGAAUUUCUGUUUGAGAUAUUUGCUAGUAGUCGCGGAAGAAGAGGAAAGGAUAGGCUGUCCAAAUUCCAAUUGCAACCAUCAAAGAUAUCUCUAAUUUUUGUUAAUGUAUCCCUAGUGGAGGGUGUGCCUAUCCCAUUUUUUCUUAGGUCACCAAAUUUGGGGAUCCAAUUAAUUUCCCAGAUAUUAAGAUUAGAGUGAAGGUGAGGGGACCAUAUAAUACCUUUGGAGCAAAUUUUCCAACCUUUGCAAAUACUUUUCCAAACGAAGGAAGGCAUAUUCAUUAUGAGACUAGUUCAAUAGCAAGAGAUGAUAAACUUGGCCCAAGGAAUCGUGGCAUUGGUAAGAAGUCUCUAACUUAGGCUAACUAGAGUACACAUAUUUUUAUUAAGAGCAUUGUGGAUACCUAAGCCACCAUUGGGUUUAGGUUAGCAAAGGGUAGACCAAUUGACUAGGUGAAUUUUUUUAUUCCUGUUGAGCUAACCUCCUCUCCAACUCAUGUGCUUUCUCCUUAGUCAAAGCACCCCAUCUAAUUUGCGAUUGUCCCCGAGCACCCCUCCUCUUCCUCUUCACCCAGAGACCGACAUUCAUCACUAGGAGUCUAUGAAGAGUCGAAAGGGAUUCUCCCGGAAUAACCUUGCAGUCCUUGCACAUACCCUCAACUACCCAAUUCAUGAUAUGUGCCGUUGGCUCAACAAUUAUACCUUUCUAUUGGAAUACCAAGCCUAGAUAUCUCAAUUAUUUGCAUUUAGAGAUUGGUCAAAUCCACCAAUGCUUCGUUUCCCCAUGAAAAAAAGUGCAAUAGAGCUCAAUGACUUUAGAUCAAUAAGUCUCAUUGGAAGUAUGUCUAAAAUAGUGGCUAAACUUUUAGCAGAAAGGAUAAAGACUGUGGCGAGGAAGCCUAUCUUGGAGGAAAUAACCAAUAACUAACUUCUCAGAUUGGAGAAUACUACUCACCAGAUCAUCCAAGCCCUCCCAAAAGCGCCUCUUAACCUCCUCGUCUAAGCCCGCUUGUGGCGCGUAAGCGCGGAUGACGUUGAGGAUGCAACCUCCAAUAACCAACUUAAUAGAUACUAACCUAUCAUUCACUCGCCUAACCUCGACCACAGACUCCCUUAGAUCCCUAUCUACCAAGAUGCUACGACUCAAAACAAUGGAAACAGAAAACACAUUAAAUCCUCAACUGAAGAUUAGAAUAUGCAUAAAUACAAAGAAAUUAAAAGAUAGAACAGAGCCCUUUAGCAAACUAUUAUAGCCACCUCUUAUUUCAUAUAAAUUAUUAAUUCUUUGCUUACACCAAACAUCAAAUCCAUUGUAAAGAGAAAAGAAUUUCAAAAAUGAAAAGUCAUUACAUUUUAUUACACUAAACAAAAGGAGAACGUCAGUAAAUAUUGAAGUGCUCUUAAGAUUUAGUUAUACUACUUAUACUACAAAGUAUCCUAUUAUAUUCGAUUAUGGAAUAUGGAGUUAAAUAUACUUGUGGAGUAGAGUAGCAUGAAGUGAGGGAAAUUCUUUAAAAUGUGCAUAGAGAGAUGAGUCCUAUCGGAGAAAUCACUGUAACUAGACACCACACCAGAAGAGUUCCAGUUAGUUUUUUUCCUUGUUAAUAAAAAAAGCCCAGAAUUGUAUUAACAUAUACAUUUGCUCUUUAUAUUGAUUAAGACUUAGUUAAAAAUUGUGAUCAACUUUCCACACUUUUUCUUUAAUUAUUUUUGGGAUUAAAUAUAAUAUGAAUGUUGAAUAUACUAACAGUAAAAUAGUGCGCAGGAAAAGAAAACACAAUUUUCAAACAAUUAACAUGUCUGUUAAACAACUAAUUAGUGAUAGGACCUGUUAACGACAACACAAAGUUUGUCUGUGAAAAUGGCAUAGAGAAUAAACCUGGUAUUAUCUGUCCUGAAAUAUACGUUACUUGUGUUCACAUCGAAUGUUUCCUUCAUCUGGAUGACAUUUACUUGUAUACAUAUAUAGGUUUGAUAUAUCUAAGAGGAAAAGUAAUUCAAUCAUACCAAAAUACCAAUCACAUCUGUCUUUUAUCAAUUUGUCAACGUUACACUUUUUCUUCUCUUAUUGAGAGAUUGACACUUCAAGAUUAGACGUGAUGAUAUUACUAAUGAACACUCAUUUAACAGGAAAGAAGAAAAAUAAUAUACCUUUUUAUGAUAAAAUGGAGAAGUAAAUUGAUAAUUGACGACAAAGAUAAUCAGUAAUAUGCUAGCAAUUUAUUGAAGAUGUUGUACAAAUACUUUAAGUAAUCUAUCCCAGUGUUUUACAAAUCUGAAAUAAACUAAAAAGCAUUAUAAGAUCAUGAAAGAGAACCAAAAACCAAGAAACGUUGAAUCAGAUGGCACAUUUGUUUUUUGGUGUUGGGUUUUGAGGGAGGGGGGGGGGGGGUUANNNNNNNNNNNNNNNNNNNNNNNNNNNNNNNNNNNNNNNNNNNNNNNNNNNNNNNNNNNNNNNNNNNNNNNNNNNNNNNNNNNNNNNNNNGGGGGGGGGGGGGGGGUGUUAACCGUUGUUGGUAAAAGAAGAUGAAGAGUGGAAGUCCAAAUAAGGGAAUUAAAGUCUAAGACAUGUCUAUUCAGUAGCAUUGUCCCUCAAUAUAUAUAUAUAUAGAGAGAGACAAAUGGCCAUUGCAAGCCUCCAAUUAAGGGCACAUUCUGCUUAACAAAUUAUAGAAAGAAGUGGAAAAUUUGGAGAAAAUAAAGAAAAAGAAGACAAGAAUAUGCACCAAUGCAGCCUUUAUGCGUAUGCAAUGCAUCCUCUUGUUAGAGGCUUUAUUUGUGCACGAUUUCCUUUCUUUCUCAGAAGAGUUAGGGAAUGAAAUAAAUUCCGAGUUUAUCAACCAAAAAAAGGCAAAGAAAGUUGCAGAGUUAUUUCCUCUAAAUCCAAAGUCAACAGAAAUGGUUAAUCAUACUCUAGCAGCAUUAUGGGAAAUAUAACACAUGGGUUCUCUAUAAUACCUCUGCUUUGAUUCCACUGAAAUAUCUUCACUAACAUAUAUAUAGUACUAAAAAACUCAAUCACCUAAUCUUAUUCUGGUUUCUCUCUUGCAUCUUCAGUUUCAUAAACCUCAAAAAUGCUUUGACUUGGUUUGCUUAGGGUCUAGUGUGCGUCUUUCUGUAAAAAUGUUGGGUUUCGAUGGUCCUGUCUCUUCAUGAACCGUGAGAAUGGCAUCUGCAAUAAGAAGUUUUGUUUCGUCGAUCAGAUGAAAAGAUACCAGACAGAUUCAAAAAAUUUGCACCCUUUUACUGACAUUUUGCGUUCUUAUUUCAUACCUUCAGACAAGCCAUUCUUGGCUAACGAUUCAAUAUGUUUUGGGCAUUUCCUCUUCCGCUUUAGGUCCACAAGCAUCAGCAAUAGGCUCACUGUCGAGAGAAUGAACUUUUCCUUUCUACAAAGAUAAAAGAUGGCUAAAUUAGUAGUAGUAAACACAAUGCAGAAUCAGGCUCGAGCAUAGCAAGACAGCUCGUGCUCUAAUUUCUCGUGAGCUCAUCAAUAAAUAUGAGGAAAUUCACCAUACCACAACAAACGACUACUACUACUAUUACGCCUCAAUAGUGUCGUUUGGUUGGAUGCAUUGGGGAAAUAAUAUAAGUAUUAGUUUUGGUAUUAUUAAUUCCUUGCUUGGUAGUAUUUUUCAACCUAUGUAUGGUCGUUUGGUAGGGUGUAUAAGAAUAGUACGGAAUUAGUAAUGCAGGGAUUAGUAAUGCAUGGGUUAGUAAUACAAGCAUUAGUUAUGCAGAUAUUACUUCUUAUCUACUGUUUGGUGUAGUGUAUUAAAAAUUAUAAUGCACUGCAUAAUUUUUAAGAAAACUAGUUGUUUACAAAAAUGUCCUCCAUAAUUUCUAACUUAAAGGGACUUAAAGGAUAAUUUUGUCUUUAACCAUACCAAUGCAUGCAUUAAUAGCCUUGUUAUUACUAACUUUAUGAUUUUCUAUGCAUUACUUAUACAUAGGAUAAUACCAAGUAUGAUAUAUAUCUAAUUUAAUUAUUAGUUAACACAUAUUGAAAAAGUAUACUAACCAAAGUAUUAUUAAUGCACAGAGCUUAUGCUUGCAUUAUUUUUUUAAUAUCCCCUACCAAACGACCCCUUCAGUACUAUUCUUAUACAUAGUAAACCAUUGGCAUUAGCAAUACCAUGGUUUUUAGUACAUAAUCAAUAAGCAUGCAUAAAGGUAGAACUGCCAUUUCAAAACCUUUUCCAAAUUCUUUCUAAAGAACGUGGAGGGUAUUUUUGUAAACAAAUAAUUUUUAAAAAAAAUUAUGCAAUACAUGUUAUUUUUAAUACACCGAACCAAAGAUAAGAAAAUAUCUCAUGCAUAACAACAACAACAAUAAUAUACCCAGUGGUUUCCCCCAAUCGUGAUAUGGGGAGGGUAGUGUACGCAGACCUUGCCCUACCUUGGGAAAGUAAAGAGGCUGUUUCCGGUAGACCCUCGGUUAAAGAUAAUAAGAAACAAAACAAUAAUAGCAAGUAGUAAUAGCAAUAAGAUAUUAAAAAAACACACGCGAAAGAUACAAUCAAACAGUAAGUACUAACAACAAUUCAAGAAUCAAAGUAUACCAUACUAAUACUAAUACUACCGGCAAGGGGGCGAAAAGGGAGAACUGCUCGACCGCCUACUAACCAUCAUAAUCUUUGACCUCCACACCCUUCUAUCAAGGAUUAUUGAAUACACCCAUUCAGUACUAUUCUUAUACACCCUACCGAAAACGACCCCUUAGUAUGGUAAUUUCAAAGGAGGAUACUAGCUAUUUCGAGAUAUAGGCGACGGAUACUGAUGUUUAUACUGAUUACAACAACAAUCCAGUAGAAUCUCAAAAGUGAGAUUUGGGGAGGGUAAUAUGUA
RNAcentral lists this long non-coding RNA (22666 nucleotides) under Nicotiana benthamiana. RNAcentral's name for it is "long non-coding RNA (NBEN_LNC016435)". The record is from RNAcentral. Lineage: Eukaryota; Viridiplantae; Streptophyta; Magnoliopsida; Solanales; Solanaceae.